This 816-nucleotide ribosomal RNA is filed under the name Monotagma papillosum. RNAcentral's name for it is "eukaryotic LSU rRNA". The stretch from base 302 to 457 matches the Rfam family "5.8S ribosomal RNA". The record is from RNAcentral. Lineage: Eukaryota; Viridiplantae; Streptophyta; Magnoliopsida; Zingiberales; Marantaceae.
UUCGCCGCUUGCGACGUCUUGAGAAGUCCACUGAACCUUAUCAUUUAGAGGAAGGAGAAGUCGUAACAAGGUUUCCGUAGGUGAACCUGCGGAAGGAUCAUUGUUGAAAUUACCAACGAGGAGAACAGUGAACGUGUCAAUGAGCGUCGUCGGGCCGAGCCCUUAUUGGGCAGACGCUGUCCCUGCCCUUGCGGUGUGGAUGAUCGAACAAACCCCGGCGCGAUGGGGCGCCAAGGAAUGUGAAACUUGUUAGCGGGCGGGAAUUUGUCCUAGUUCUACUGAAGUUUGCUUGGAACAGAAUGACUCUUGGCAACGGAUAUCUUGGCCCUCGCCUCGAUGAAGAACGUGGCGAAAUGCGAUACGUGGUGUGAAUUGCAGAAUCCCGCGAACCAUUAAGUCUUUGAAUGCAAGUUGCGCCUGAGGCCUUUCGGUCGAGGGUACGCCUGCUUGGGCGUCACGCCAUUGUUUCGUACGGCUUUGCCCCCACGCACAAGUGACUGAGCCGGAGGUGGACAUUGGCCCCCUGUGCCCUAAGGGCACGGUCGGCUUAAGAGUGGGUUGUCGCCGGUGGUCGGUCACGACGGGUGGUGGCGCCAUGAGCAAACCGAACGUCGUGCCCUGGUUAUGGAGAUGAGCUUUUGUGGAUCCCGACCAUAGUCGUUCGUCUUGGAUUGUGACCCCAGGUCAGGUGGGGCCACCCGCCGAGUUUAAGCAUAUAAAUAAGCGGAGGAGAAGAAACUUAAGAGGAUUCCCAUAGUAACGGCGAGCGAACCGGGAUUAGCCCAGCUUGAGAAUUGUACGGCUGUGCCGUUCGAA